RNAcentral lists this ribosomal RNA (248 nucleotides) under uncultured Eubacteriales bacterium. RNAcentral describes it as "uncultured Clostridiales bacterium partial 16S ribosomal RNA". It matches the Rfam family "Bacterial small subunit ribosomal RNA", at positions 85 to 334 of the family's 1533-position model. The record is from RNAcentral. Lineage: Bacteria; Bacillati; Bacillota; Clostridia; Eubacteriales.
AAGUGGAUUAGCGGCGGACGGGUGAGUAACACGUGAGUAACCUGCCUUAGACAUUAGGAUAGCCUCGGAAACCGGGAUUAAUACCAAAUAAAAUCAUAAUGACACAUGUCAUAACGAUCAAAACUCCGGUGGUCUAAGAUGGACUCGCGUCCCAUUAGCUAGUUGGUAGAGUAAAAGCCUACCAAGGCGACGAUGGGUAGCCGGCCUGAGAGGGUGAACGGCCACAUUGGAACUGAGAAACGGUCCAA